CCGAUUGAAUGGCUCAGUGAGGCCUUCGGACUGGCCCAGGGAGGUCGGCAACGACCACCCAGGGCCGGAAAGUUGGUCAAACUCGGUCAUUUAGAGGAAGUAAAAGUCGUAACAAGGUCUCCGUAGGUGAACCUGCGGAGGGAUCAUUA
This 149-nucleotide ribosomal RNA is filed under the name Cercospora violae. RNAcentral describes it as "partial 18S ribosomal RNA". It matches the Rfam family "Eukaryotic small subunit ribosomal RNA", at positions 1685 to 1831 of the family's 1831-position model. The record is from RNAcentral. Lineage: Eukaryota; Fungi; Ascomycota; Dothideomycetes; Mycosphaerellales; Mycosphaerellaceae. RNAcentral also lists the same sequence under 5 other names.